GUGCAUUUAGAGUUUUGAUCUCUGAGGGGCGGGUUCGAGUCCUGUUUUUUUAGGAG
RNAcentral lists this transfer RNA (56 nucleotides) under Cryptotriton nasalis (Cortes salamander). RNAcentral describes it as "partial tRNA-Gln". The record is from RNAcentral. Lineage: Eukaryota; Metazoa; Chordata; Amphibia; Caudata; Plethodontidae.